Molecule: ribosomal RNA, 451 nt
Filed under: uncultured bacterium
Lineage: Bacteria
Description: partial 16S ribosomal RNA
Rfam family: Bacterial small subunit ribosomal RNA
Source: RNAcentral
GUGGGGAAUAUUGGACAAUGGGGGGAACCCUGAUCCAGCCAUGCCGCGUGUGUGAAGAAGGCCUUUUGGUUGUAAAGCACUUUAAGCGAGGAGGAGGCUACCGAGAUUAAUACUCUUGGAUAGUGGACGUUACUCGCAGAAUAAGCACCGGUUAACUCUGUGCCAGCAGCCGCGGUAAUACAGAGGGUGCAAGCGUUAAUCGGAUUUACUGGGCGUAAAGCGCGCGUAGGUGGCCAAUUAAGUCAAAUGUGAAAUCCCCGAGCUUAACUUGGGAAUUGCAUUCGAUACUGGUUGGCUAGAGUAUGGGAGAGGAUGGUAGAAUUCCAGGUGUAGCGGUGAAAUGCGUAGAGAUCUGGAGGAAUACCGAUGGCGAAGGCAGCCAUCUGGCCUAAUACUGACACUGAGGUGCGAAAGCAUGGGGAGCAAACAGGAUUAGAAACCCCGGUAGUCC